This 586-nucleotide ribosomal RNA is filed under the name uncultured bacterium. RNAcentral's name for it is "bacterial SSU rRNA". It matches the Rfam family "Bacterial small subunit ribosomal RNA", at positions 338 to 916 of the family's 1533-position model. The record is from RNAcentral.
CCUACGGGAGGCAGCAGUGGGGAAUAUUGGACAAUGGGGGGAACCCUGAUCCAGCCAUGCCGCGUGUGUGAAGAAGGCCUUAUGGUUGUAAAGCACUUUAAGCGAGGAGGAGGCUCUUCUAGUUAAUACCUAGGAUGAGUGGACGUUACUCGCAGAAUAAGCACCGGCUAACUCUGUGCCAGCAGCCGCGGUAAUACAGAGGGUGCGAGCGUUAAUCGGAUUUACUGGGCGUAAAGCGUGCGUAGGCGGCUUUUAAGUCGGAUGUGAAAUCCCCGAGCUUAACUUGGGAAUUGCAUUCGAUACUGGGAAGCUAGAGUAUGGGAGAGGAUGGUAGAAUUCCAGGUGUAGCGGUGAAAUGCGUAGAGAUCUGGAGGAAUACCGAUGGCGAAGGCAGCCAUCUGGCCUAAUACUGACGCUGAGGUACGAAAGCAUGGGGAGCAAACAGGAUUAGAUACCCUGGUAGUCCAUGCCGUAAACGAUGUCUACUAGCCGUUGGGGCCUUUGAAGCUUUAGUGCGCAGCUAACGCGAUAAGUGACCGCCUGGGGAGUACGGUCGCAAAGACUAAAACUCAAAAGGAAUUGACGG